GUGUCAGCCGCCGCGGUAAUACGUAGGUGGCAAGCGUUGUCCGGAUUUAUUGGGUUUAAAGGGUGCGUAGGCGGCCUAUUAAGUCAGUGGUGAAAUAUUUCAGCUCAACUGGAAUUGUGCCAUUGAUACUGAUGGGCUUGAGUACAGAUGAGGUAGGCGGAAUUGACGGUGUAGCGGUGAAAUGCUUAGAUAUCGUCAAGAACACCUAUAGCGAAGGCAGCUUACUAGGCUGUAACUGACGCUGAGGCACGAAAGUGUGGGGAUCAAACAGGAUUAGAUACCCUCGUAGUCC
This 292-nucleotide ribosomal RNA is filed under the name uncultured bacterium. RNAcentral's name for it is "partial 16S ribosomal RNA". It matches the Rfam family "Bacterial small subunit ribosomal RNA", at positions 505 to 796 of the family's 1533-position model. The record is from RNAcentral.